RNAcentral lists this RNase P RNA (397 nucleotides) under Pedobacter segetis. RNAcentral describes it as "Pedobacter sp. SD-b RNase P RNA component class A". It matches the Rfam family "Bacterial RNase P class A". From Rfam's summary of the family: Ribonuclease P (RNase P) is a ubiquitous endoribonuclease, found in archaea, bacteria and eukarya as well as chloroplasts and mitochondria. Its best characterised activity is the generation of mature 5'-ends of tRNAs by cleaving the 5'-leader elements of precursor-tRNAs. The record is from RNAcentral. Lineage: Bacteria; Pseudomonadati; Bacteroidota; Sphingobacteriia; Sphingobacteriales; Sphingobacteriaceae.
AGCGCAAAUUGCUCUAUCGCUGCGCAUCAAAUAAAUUUGAUGCGGAGAGGAAAGUCCGGGCAACACAGGGUACCUUGCUUCCUAACGGGAAGGUCCCGAUUUGCUAUCGGGAACAGAAAGUGCUACAGAAAACAAACUACCUCCAAGGAAUUGGCGGAAAAGGUGAAAAUGUGAGGUAAGAGCUCACAACUUUGUAUGGCGACAUACAUCGUGGUAAACCUCAGGGGUUGAAAGGCCAAAUAAGUCUCGAUUUUGGAGUUACCCGUUCCAAUUGUUCAUUCAAUAUCGAGAUGGGUAGGCCGAUAGAUCAUAACAGCAAUGUUAUGGCAAGAUAAAUGAUAGAGACAUACUGGUUAAUUCAGGAUGACAGAACCCGGCUUACAAAUUUGCAUUUUUA